This 494-nucleotide ribosomal RNA is filed under the name uncultured bacterium. RNAcentral's name for it is "partial 16S ribosomal RNA". It matches the Rfam family "Bacterial small subunit ribosomal RNA", at positions 28 to 507 of the family's 1533-position model. The record is from RNAcentral.
GACGAACGCUGGCGGCGUGCUUAACACAUGCAAGUCGAACGGAAAGGCCUGCUUUCCCUUGUGGAUUGCGGGUGCUCGAGUGGCGAACGGGUGAGUAACACGUGAGUGAUCUGCCCCCAACUUGGGUAUAAGCCUGGGAAACUGGGUCUAAUUCCCGAUAGGACUGCAGGGUGGUGCCUGUGGUGGAAAACGAUUUUCUAGUGGUUGGGGAUGAGCUCGCGGCCUAUCAGCUUGUUGGUGGGGUAAUGGCCUACCAAGGCGGCGACGGGUAGCCGGCCUGAGAGGGUGGACGGCGACAUUGGGACUGAGAUACGGCCCAGACUCCUACGGGAGGCAGCAGUGGGGAAUAUUGCACAAUGGGCGGAAGCCUGAUGCAGCGACGCCGCGUGGGGGAUGACGGCCUUCGGGUUGUAAACUCCUUUCGACCGCGAGGAAGCCACCUGGUUGGAAGGGUGGUGACGGUAGUGGUAGAAGAAGCACCGGCUAACUACGUG